This 4292-nucleotide long non-coding RNA is filed under the name Vitis vinifera (wine grape). RNAcentral's name for it is "long non-coding RNA (VVIN_LNC006116)". Lineage: Eukaryota; Viridiplantae; Streptophyta; Magnoliopsida; Vitales; Vitaceae. The record is from RNAcentral.
AGUUUAAUUUAAAGGAGACAAAAAGAGAGUUGCAAUGGAGCUGGAGAGAUGGCGCACGGAAACAAGAAGAAGGAGCAGUGAGCUGAAGCCUAAAAUUCCUUGUUAGAGGGAAGAUCUUCAGGUAUGGCCAUUAUGGGUUUCCUUUUUUUGUUUUUUAUUUUUCAUGUUGAUCCUGCUUCAUUCUUUGUGAUUUCCACAUUGCUUGUUGGGUUCGUAUGGUUUGGUUAUUAUUGGUUUAAUAUUUCAUUUUCUUUUUUAUUCCAAUAAAGAGAUACCUGAAUGUGCUUCAAUUUGUCGUUUCAUUUGUAAGGAGCUUGCUGCUUUAUUCUGAAAACCUUUUCCAUAGCUCAAUCCACUAAUUGUUAAACCUAUGGAUAAAAUAACAAAAUGGGUUCAACAUAUUGGUUAAGUGUUUUAUGCUUUAUUCUUGCUUCUCCUCUCAUGCUCCUCUGUUUUCCUAUGAAUGUGCGCCCCAAACCUUAGAAUCCAUAUAUCCUUGAAGGUCUCUGGCAAAUCAACUGAAAAUGAAAACACAAAAAAAAAAUUAGAAUUUUUCGAAAUGUUUAUGCAUUGUUUUUUUAAAAAAAAAUUAUUUUGGGGCGUCGAGUAUGCACGGAUCUGGAGCUGUGAUGGCUUGGAACGUUCUACACAACCUUAAGGAGCCUUGGCCCGAUCAUGAUCCUCUUGAUCCUUUGACAAGGUUAGAUUUUGGUGUUUCACCAGUUGAUGCUUCAAAACAGAGGGUUUGGUGUUGUAAAAAAUGCAGCUAGAUGAAACUACCUCGCUGCCACCAGCGUUCUGUUUAUGGGAGAUGUAUUGAAGAUGGACCAUCAUUGUUUUUGGGUUGUGAAUUGUGUUGGGGCUUUGAACGACAAAUAUUUCCUUCUUUUCUUGUUUUACACGUCUCUUGAAACAAGCCUUGUGACUUCAUCAUUACUACCACAUUUUAUAGCUAUCAUUAUUACCACAUUUUAUAGCCAUCAUUACUACCACAUUUUAUAGCAUUCUUUAUUGAGGGAGAAAUACCUGGAACACCUUGCACCUCGGGCCUCGCUUUUACAUGGCUACCCUCAUGUACCACUAACAAAACCUACCUGCUAGCAAAUCUCAUAUUUUUUAAUUCUUCAAUAUCAAAGUUUAAUUUAUUUUUUUUAAACGCCAAUUCUUAAAUUUAAAUUUCAAAAUUCCAAUUCUCAAAUAAUUUUAAAAAUUUCAAUUUCUUUCAAAUUUAAUUUCCGAAACGCCAAUUCUUAAAUUUAAUUUUCAAAAUUUCAAUUCUCAAAUAAUUUUCAAAAUUCCAAUUUCUUUCAAAUUUAAUUUCUGAAACUCCAAUUCUUAAAUUUAAUUUUCAAAACUCUAAUUCUCAAAUAAUUUUCAAAAUUCCAAUUUUCAAAUUUAAUUUCCGAAACUCCAAUUCUUACAUUUAAUUUUCAAAACUCCAAUUCUCAAAUAAUUUUUAUUAUUCUAAUUUCUUUCAAAUUUAAUUUUCGAAACUCCAAUUCUUACAUUUAAUUUUCAAAACUCAAAUUCUCAAAUAAUUUUCAAAAUUCCAAUUUCUUUCAAAUUUAAUUUCCGAAACUCCAAUUCUUAGAUUUAAUUUUCAAAAUUUCAAUUAUUAAAUGAUUUUCAAAAUUUCAAUUUGUUUCAAAUUUAAUUUUUGAAACUUCAAUUCUUAAAUUUAAUUUUCAAAAUUUCAAUUCUCAAAUAAUUUUCAAAAUUCUAAUUUCUUUCAAAUUUAAUUUCCGAAACUCCAAUUCUUAAAUUUAAUUUUCAAAAUUUCAAUUCUCAAAUAAUUUUCAAAAUUUCAAUUUUUUUUCAAAUUUAAUUUCCAAAACUCCAAUUCUUAAAUAUAAUUUUCAAAACUCCAAUUCUCAAAUAAUUUUCAAAAUUCCAAUUUCUUUCAAAUUUAAUUUUCAAAAUUCUAAUUUCUUUCAAAUUUAAUUUCCAAAAUUCUAAUUCUUAAAUAUAAUUUUCAAGACUCCAAUUUUUAAAUAAUUUUCUAGACUUCAAUUUUCAAAUAGAUUUAAAAAAUCUAGUUUUCUUUCGAGCCAUUUUAAUUUCACUCCAGUUUUCAAAUAUAUUUUUUUUAUUCUACAACUCUCCAUCCUUUAUUAGGGUUUUUUUUUAGGUCGUCAAAAAUUCUGAUUUUAAUAAGUUUGCUACCAUUUUCAUUUUGGUAUGCACUUGUACAAAUUUUCUUCGAUUUUCAAAUAAUCUUCUGUUUAUCUUAAUUUUAAAUAAGCAAGAAUGAAUUUUUCCUAAUUCCAAAAUAAUGGAAUUUGUGAGACUAAUUCAUGCAAGAUAAAUUGGGCUUUGGUGGGAGCCCCACAUAUGAGUUUUCUCUUCUGAUUGUCAAUUGUUAUACUUAAUGAAUAUUGUUUGAUCUUUAUCUUGCUCUUUGAUAUGCAUGUGAUAAUUUUAUAAUUGAGCUAACCUUGUUUCCAUGAUAACGCACUAUUACUUGUCGCUAAGGUACAAUCUCACUCUCACUUUGCUUAUUCUUAUGCACGAUUCAUUUUAUUAUUUGAUCAUUUCAUUGGUAUCCAUUACUUUCCUUAUCAAUUGCCAUAUUUGUCUCACCUUAUUUAAUAGAGACCCAUUUUUAAGGGCUUAGAGGGGUGCUACGGUCUUUACCAUACCUUCCCAAUAAGUAACCUGACCCCCGAACCCAGACUCGGUUUUUCAUAAACUUGUCUUUUCCAAAUAAGGAGUCACACUUAGAGUUUUCUUUUUUAUUUUGUUUUCCCUUAAAAAAAUAAAACAAAAAUAAGUGGUGAAUCCAAGUUUUUUCUAAAAAUCAAAAUUUUCACAAAUAAAUAGAAAACGAGUUUCACCAUUGAGUAGGAACGCAUCGAGAAAAAUGCGGGGUCCAUAAGAGGUUUCACCAAUUCCCCAGUUGGUAUACACAAAUCUAGCUUAGGAUCAUCCCAUUUAUUUGGGACCACAAGCUUUGAUUCGUAUUCCAUUCGAAAUCGGAAUUUUUAUUGAAAACCGAGAAAGAUGCAAACUGAUCAAAACAUGGUCUCAUAUUUUUAAAGAAAAUGAGAUUUUGAUUCUAAAGACUCUAAAUGAAAUUUAAAAAAAAAAAAAAGAUUUUCAAAGGGAUCUUUUGAGAAAAGUGUUUUGUUUUAAAAAUAAACAAAAAGAACUAGCAUAAGAUCACACAAACACAUCUAGACUGAAAAGAUAACUUAAAAUUGAACUAAAUUGGAAUUAGAAACAUAAACUUUAUCUAACAUGAUUAAAUGAACUAUUGGAUCAAAAUCACCAACACAUCUAAACUAAAGAAUAAAUUAAGAUUAAACUAUUUGGAAUUAAAGACAUGGACUUUAUCUAAUAGGUUUAUUUAAACUAAUGAAUUAAAAUCACUAACACACUUAAACUAAAAGAUAGGUUAAAAUUAAAUUAAUUAAGAACUAAAAAAUGUAAACUUUAUCUAACAGGAUUAUUUAAAAUAAGGAAUUAACAUCACAAAGACAAUUAAAUUAAGAGAAUAAAUUGUAACUAAACUAAACCAGAAUUUAAACAAAAACAUGAUAUCUAAUAGGAUUAAUUAAUCUUAAGAAUCAAAACUUCAAAUAUAUCUGAAUUAAAAAAUAAACUAAAAUUAAACUAAAUUGGAAUUUAAAAAAAACCAUGAAAUUUAUCUAACAAAAUUAAUCAAACAAAUGAAUUAAAAUCAUAAACACAUCCAAAUUAAAAAUAAAAUAAAAUUAAAUUAAAUUAAAACUAAACUAAAUCGGAUUAAAAAAAAAAAAAACUGGAACUCACCUAUCCCGUAUCAUUGAUACCCUCCUGAAUGCAUGCCUGUUGUGCGUGUUUCAGAAAAUCAUCUCUUAGUGUGUGGCUGUAUGUGACAGCCAUCCUAAAAGCAUGGAGUGGACUGGGCUUAUGGCAGCAUGUUGUCCCCUCGUUAGUAGCAUGUCUUCUCCAUUAGCUUGGUGGUAUUCCAUGUGGUUCCUUUCAUGUGGUUGUGUGAGUGGUCUUCUGGGUGGGCUAUCCGUGGCUACGUAACAUGAAGAAAGGUGGUUGUUUUUCCACUGAAUGGCUUGUAAUCCUCUAUAUAUGAGUGACGACAUUCUCGUAUGUGUGUAUUGUCAACCUAGUUUCGGUAUUUACAAUGCCUUAGAACCUUGGUGUGAUGAAUGGGAGACAACCCUUACUAGAUGGUGGCAUGGGAAGUGGAGGUUUGAGCUAUGUUGAUUGCGCUGGGUUUAAUAUCUCUACAUCUCAUGUAAGUCAGAAACUAUCCAGGUAGCUCUUCUAAUAGAGCUUCGACUACAAAAGUUUGC